CCUACGGGUGGCAGCAGUGGGGAAUAUUGGACAAUGGGCGAAAGCCUGAUCCAGCCAUGCCGCGUGUGUGAAGAAGGCCUUCGGGUUGUAAAGCACUUUCAGUGGGGAAGAAAGCCUUGGGGCUAAUACCCUCGAGGAAGGACAUCACCCACAGAAGAAGCACCGGCUAACUCCGUGCCAGCAGCCGCGGUAAUACAGGAGGGUGCGAGCGUUAAUCGGAAUUACUGGGCGUAAAGCGCGCGUAGGCGGUCUGAUAAGCCGGUUGUGAAAGCCCCGGGCUCAACCUGGGAACGGCAUCCGGAACUGUCAGGCUAGAGUGCAGGAGAGGAAGGUAGAAUUCCCGGUGUAGCGGUGAAAUGCGUAGAGCUCGGGAGGAAUACCAGUGGCGAAGGCGGCCUUCUGGACUGACACUGACGCUGAGGUGCGAAAGCGUGGGUAGCAAACAGGAUUAGAUACCCCGGUAGUC
This 466-nucleotide ribosomal RNA is filed under the name Vreelandella stevensii. Its description in RNAcentral is "partial 16S ribosomal RNA". It matches the Rfam family "Bacterial small subunit ribosomal RNA", at positions 338 to 795 of the family's 1533-position model. The record is from RNAcentral. Lineage: Bacteria; Pseudomonadati; Pseudomonadota; Gammaproteobacteria; Oceanospirillales; Halomonadaceae.